Molecule: long non-coding RNA, 1303 nt
Organism: Strongylocentrotus purpuratus (purple sea urchin)
Lineage: Eukaryota; Metazoa; Echinodermata; Echinoidea; Camarodonta; Strongylocentrotidae
Product: 39S ribosomal protein L20, mitochondrial
Exons: 5
Source: RefSeq, a predicted model, not a curated record
AACAUCGGAUCGGAUAUCGGCCGGAGUUUUAUAACAACAUGCUGCGGAGCCGAAAUCGAGACUGAGAAUAUAUUUGUAUGAGAUAUAAAUUGAUAUAAAAAUGGUCCACUUAUCUCUUGUGAGGAUGAUCAGGUCAAGGGGACCGGACAGAUAUUGGAGGAAGAGAUUCUACCUUGACCAGUCAACGCAAUACUUUGGCCGUAGGAGGAAUUGCUUUUCAGUGGCUGUCAGAGCUGUGAGGAGGGCAUGGCAGAAUUCAACCGCCGGCCGCAAGAAGAAAAAGGGACAGAUGAGGAGGCUCUGGAACCUGAGAAUCAGUGCCGCUGUCCAGGAGCAUGGGUUAACGUAUGGACCAUUCAUUGGAAAUCUUUUGAAGCACAAUAUUCGGCUUGACAGGAAGGUCCUUUCUCAUAUAGCCAUCUAUGAACCAAAGACAUUUAAGUGUUUAGCUGAGCUAGCCAGCCAGAAGCACAAGGAAGGACUCUUAGCAACGCUCGCAAAGAACCCAGAGGGCUUCCUAUCAGGCCCCGUCACGCAAGACGACCUUUUGGCCGAGAGCGUCCGCAAACUACGACUGAGCUCCAACCCAUCUGCCUCGUCGUGACCUAAUGGUCAUGUGAUCGCAAAAGACUUUGAACAAUAACCCAAUUCAGUGUGUACUGUAGCUGAUGGGAAAGACCGAGAAAAACUGUUGGAUUUUUUUGCAGAUGGUCAACAAAAUGAAUCAAACAACUUUUUAUAUCAUAUGCCGUUGAGAAAUGAUGAUAAUGAUGGCCUCUUGUCGCGGCUCUUGCACUACAAUGUCUCACAAAUUCAACGUUCUUGGUCAGAACAUGCAUUUCAAAUUAAAGAUUAAAAUGAAUUAAGGAUCCAUCAUUAUCAACUUGCAUGUUCUGUGAUUCCAAAGAAAAUCUGGGAACCAUGCAUAGCAGUGCUAUAUAUAACACAAUGGCACUAACCCUCCAAUUGUGUGCAUGCAUGAUGAAUUAUAUUGCAAAAUAUGCAUUUACCAAUCACGUGAACUUUGUAGAGAUGAGCUAACAUGUACUAGUAUAUCAAGGAUGUGGUUUCAAACUUUCAAUCCUAUUCUAAUGUUUUGGACAUAGAAUAUUAUCCUUCGAUGUAAAUUUUCUCUUUGAAAGGUGCAUCAUGUAAAGCUACGUGUAUCAGUAAAUUCAUAUUAUAACUGUGUAUACUUGGUGUAACAGUGUAUUCUGUUUAUGAUUUGAAUUUUAUUGCAUUUUAUUUUUCAUUUCAAUCUCUUGACUUUACAGGACAAUAUAUGAAUAACAUGGUAAUGUUA